GAGUUUGAUCGUGGCUCAGGACGAACGCUGGCGGCGUGCCUAACACAUGCAAGUCGAACGGAGAACUCAAAAAGCUUGCUUUGAGAGUUCUUAGUGGCGGACGGGUGAGUAACGCGUGGGCAACCUCCCCCUUAAACCGGGACAACCCUUGGAAACGAGGGCUAAUACCGGAUACGCUUUUCUGAGGACAUCCUCGGGAAAGGAAAGGCGGCCUCUGAAGAUGCUGCCGAUAAGGGAUGGACCCGCGUCUGAUUAGCUGGUUGGUGGGGUAAAGCCUACCAAGGCGACGAUCAGUAGCCGGCCUGAGAGGGUGAACGGCCACACUGGGACUGAGACACGGCCCAGACUCCUACGGGAGGCAGCAGUGGGGAAUCUUCCGCAAUGGACGAAAGUCUGACGGAGCAACGCCGCGUGUAUGACGAAGGCC
Molecule: ribosomal RNA, 427 nt
Filed under: bacterium enrichment culture clone ALO1_GLFRUDD03GXPJG
Lineage: Bacteria
Description: bacterial SSU rRNA
Rfam family: Bacterial small subunit ribosomal RNA
Source: RNAcentral